This 72-nucleotide transfer RNA is filed under the name Camelus bactrianus (Bactrian camel). It matches the Rfam family "tRNA". Rfam says of the family: Transfer RNA (tRNA) molecules are approximately 80 nucleotides in length. Their secondary structure includes four short double-helical elements and three loops (D, anti-codon, and T loops). RNAcentral also lists the same sequence under 2 other names. Lineage: Eukaryota; Metazoa; Chordata; Mammalia; Artiodactyla; Camelidae. The record is from Rfam by way of RNAcentral.
GAGGAUGGGGCUCAGUGGUCGAGCCCAUGCUUAGCAUUCACAAGGUCCUGGGUUCAAUCCCCAGUACCUUCA